RNAcentral lists this ribosomal RNA (301 nucleotides) under uncultured bacterium. Its description in RNAcentral is "partial 16S ribosomal RNA". It matches the Rfam family "Bacterial small subunit ribosomal RNA", at positions 509 to 807 of the family's 1533-position model. The record is from RNAcentral.
CAGCCGCCACGGGAAUACAGAGGGUGCGAGCGUUAAUCGGAUUUACUGGGCGUAAAGCGUGCGUAGGCGGCUUUUUAAGUCGGAUGUGAAAUCCCUGAGCUUAACUUAGGAAUUGCAUUCGAUACUGGGAAGCUAGAGUAUGGGAGAGGAUGGUAGAAUUCCAGGUGUAGCGGUGAAAUGCGUAGAGAUCUGGAGGAAUACCGAUGGAGAAGGCAGCCAUCUGGCCUAAUACUGACGCUGAGGUACGAAAGCGUGGGGAGCAAACAGGAUUAGAUACCCCUGUAGUCCCUGUCUCUUAUAC